AAACCAGCACCUCAAGUGGUCAGGAUGAUUAUUGGGCCUAAAGCAUCCGUAGCCGGCUCUGUAAGUUUUCGGUUAAAUCUGUACGCUCAACGUACAGGCUGCCGGGAAUACUGCAGAGCUAGGGAGUGGGAGAGGUAGACGGUACUCGGGAGGAAGGGGUAAAAUCCUUUGAUCUCUCGAUGACCACCUGUGGCGAAGGCGGUCUACCAGAACACGUCCGACGGUGAGGGAUGAAAGCUGGGGGAGCAAACCGGAUUAGAAACCCGAGUAGUCC
RNAcentral lists this ribosomal RNA (274 nucleotides) under uncultured bacterium. RNAcentral describes it as "partial 16S ribosomal RNA". It matches the Rfam family "Archaeal small subunit ribosomal RNA", at positions 473 to 747 of the family's 1478-position model. The record is from RNAcentral.